UUCCCCACUCCCUGCUGUGGGAGGGUCUGAGGACAAAUCAGGAAGCUAAGGGCAAAUUGGUUGGAGGGGGCAGUGGGAAGGGGCUGCUUCUUGGUGAGAGGGGCUCUAUGGAGUUGCUCUUGGCUCUUCUUCGUGCUGUGUGUGCUGCUGUGGGCCUGGAGCAAAGACCUACCCGACACCUGGCCUCGUGGAAAUGAAGCUGCAUUCAGACUGGGUGCAGCAAUCAGAGCUGACGGGAGGAAAAGGGGCCCAGGAGCAGAGCUCUGCGUGGGCACAGCAGGGACCAGCAGAAAGUGCAGGGUGAAGGACCUGAUACAACCCCAACCCUGUGCUGAGAUGUCCCAGACCUCGUGCCAACCUCCACGGAUGACGAGGGCUCCUGCAGCUUCGUACCAGUGAUCUCUCUUAAAGAAAUCUCCAUCUCUCCCAAAACCUGUUGCCCUUCUGAAAUCUGUUUCCGGAGAGCAUUGUAAUCCUCAAUCAAGCCAAGCACGUGGCGCCCGUUUUUGUC
This is a long non-coding RNA of Numida meleagris (helmeted guineafowl), 511 nucleotides long. RefSeq lists it as uncharacterized. Lineage: Eukaryota; Metazoa; Chordata; Aves; Galliformes; Numididae. The record is from RefSeq and is a predicted model, not a curated record. The transcript is spliced from 4 exons.